This 253-nucleotide ribosomal RNA is filed under the name uncultured bacterium. Its description in RNAcentral is "partial 16S ribosomal RNA". It matches the Rfam family "Bacterial small subunit ribosomal RNA", at positions 524 to 776 of the family's 1533-position model. The record is from RNAcentral.
UACGAAGGGGGCUAGCGUUGCUCGGAAUUACUGGGCGUAAAGCGCACGUAGGCGGCUUUCUAAGUCGGGGGUGAAAUCCUGGAGCUCAACUCCAGAACUGCCUUCGAUACUGGAAAGCUCGAGUCCGGGAGAGGUGAGUGGAACUGCGAGUGUAGAGGUGAAAUUCGUAGAUAUUCGCAAGAACACCAGUGGCGAAGGCGGCUCACUGGUCCGGUACUGACGCUGAGGUGCGAAAGCGUGGGGAGCAAACAGG